Cyprinus carpio (common carp) is the source of this 1158-nucleotide long non-coding RNA. Lineage: Eukaryota; Metazoa; Chordata; Actinopteri; Cypriniformes; Cyprinidae. The record is from Ensembl.
AAGCACAACCGUACGCUUUGAAUUGAAUUACUCUGGAAAACUUUUUUUUAGGGAAUGCAAAAUAUAUUUUGGAAUAUGAGAAGUACGCCAACUUUUGGCACCGCUUCGGAGCGAUGAUAAUAGACGCGCAGGAGGGUGUUUGACCUGUUGGCGUUUAAAAUCGAUUUUCGCACGUUCAGCAGUAAAGAGAGAGAGAGAGAGAGAGAGAACGGAGAGAACACGACGCAAAGUCGACACUGGGCGUGCGCUUUCGAGUGAGAGGGAGCGCAACACUGUUUCGGGCGCGGUAAUGAGGGCAUUACGCGCGAGCGCCAGCUGACAGCACAAGUUUGCACCGUUCCCACGCCAACUUUUCACCUCCGUAGACCCGCGAACGGAUGUGCACUUCACUAAUGACAAGGACCUCAAGAGCUGAACCUCCUUGGUUUAUUCUCACAGUCAGUCAAACCAGUUCUUUCCUCUCCUCUCGGAUGUGUUCCGCUUGGUGAUCUGCGUCCGGUAUAUGUUUGCUCAACGGGACUAGUGUUCUCUCGGAGGUCGCGAACGAAAGGUGCGAUGAGGCUGCUCUUCUGGAGCGUUCUGCUGCUCAUCCAGUGGAUUGUAAGACAGCCACUGGGAGAAAGAGAGAGGAACGGAGGUGAGGUGAGACGACGACUGGGCACCGACCAAGAAGAAGCUGUUUGAUACACGCGUCUGAAGACGUGCGACGAGCGUGAAAACGAGAGAAAGAGAGAUGAGAGGGAGAUGAUGGAUGGUCAGUCCAGGUUAAGACUGCAGCGCUGCCCUGAUCAACAUCAGAAAACACUUAGAAACUCAGUAGAGCUGAUGUAGAAAUCAAGUGUUGUUUCAUGUGUUCUUCAGAAUAUAGAAGCUGAUGCGAACGUUUUAUGAGUCUGUGUUGAGCUUGAGAUUGGGCCAAACAACAUCAAGAUGCUAUUUUUUUAUGUUUUUUGCUUUAUUUGAGAAGCAAACAUGUACAUGUUUUUAGAUUAAGACCCUCACCUUUUCUUUCUUUUUUGUUCUGUUUUUCUUUAAAUGAUGGCUCAAAAAAAAAAACCAGAUUUGUGAUUGUUAAAAUAUGCCUUAAAUGUUUGUAUUUGAAUAAUGUUUAUAAAGAAAAAAAAUAAAAUAAAUAUAUAUAUAUAUAUAUAUAUAUAU